GAAAAAAGGCAAAAAUGAGAUGACAAGAUGAGUGCUGGGGAUAAUUGACCAAUGCUCGAUUAGUGCACAGCUCUAAACCUACAGAUAUUUGGUAUACAAAAGACAGGUCGAUUGCUUGAAGCACAAUAAACCAUGUGCUAAAAUUACUGAUUUCACAUCUGAAGAAGAUUGUUCACAGUGACAGUGACAGAAUUUGUUCGCUGC
Molecule: unclassified non-coding RNA, 204 nt
Filed under: Hevea brasiliensis (rubber tree)
Lineage: Eukaryota; Viridiplantae; Streptophyta; Magnoliopsida; Malpighiales; Euphorbiaceae
Source: RNAcentral